ACGCUAGCGGGAGGCCUAACACAUGCAAGCCGAGCGGUAUUUGUUCUUCGGAACAGAGAGAGCGGCGUACGGGUGCGGAACACGUGUGCAACCUGCCUUUAUCUGGGGGAUAGCCUUUCGAAAGGAAGAUUAAUACCCCAUAAUAUAUUGAAUGGCAUCAUUCGAUAUUGAAAACUCCGGUGGAUAGAGAUGGGCACGCGCAAGAUUAGAUAGUUGGUGAGGUAACGGCUCACCAAGUCAAUGAUCUUUAGGGGGCCUGAGAGGGUGAUCCCCCACACUGGUACUGAGACACGGACCAGACUCCUACGGGAGGCAGCAGUGAGGAAUAUUGGACAAUGGGUGCAAGCCUGAUCCAGCCAUCCCGCGUGAAGGACUAAGGCCCUAUGGGUUGUAAACUUCUUUUAUACUGGGAUAAACCUACUUACGUGUAAGUAGCUGAAGGUACAGUAUGAAUAAGCACCGGCUAACUCCGUGCCAGCAGCCGCGGUAAUACGGAGGGUGCAAGCGUUAUCCGGAUUUAUUGGGUUUAAAGGGUCCGUAGCGGAUUCGUAAGUCAGUGGUGAAAUCUCAUAGCUUAACUAUGAAACUGCCAUUGAUACUGC
RNAcentral lists this ribosomal RNA (602 nucleotides) under uncultured bacterium. RNAcentral's name for it is "bacterial SSU rRNA". It matches the Rfam family "Bacterial small subunit ribosomal RNA", at positions 33 to 636 of the family's 1533-position model. The record is from RNAcentral.